RNAcentral lists this ribosomal RNA (497 nucleotides) under uncultured bacterium. RNAcentral describes it as "partial 16S ribosomal RNA". It matches the Rfam family "Bacterial small subunit ribosomal RNA", at positions 28 to 507 of the family's 1533-position model. The record is from RNAcentral.
GAUGAACGCUGGCGGCGUGCCUAAUACAUGCAAGUCGAGCGGAAAGACGCGGCUCUUGCUUCUCUCAUGUUAGCGGCGGGCGGGAGUGUCACGCGUGUAUCCCCUACCUAUAUGUCUGGGAUAAUUUCGGGACUCCGGCGCUUAUCCCGGAUGAUCUUCUGAACCGCGUUGUUCAAAAGUGAAAGUCGGUCUUGCGGGCUCUUAUAGCUGCAUCUGCGCUGCAUUAGCUAGUAGGUAAGGUAACGGCUUUCCAAGGCGACUAGGCAUAACCGACGUGAGGGAGGGGUCGGCCACAUGGGAAGGUAGACGCGGUCCAGACGCCUACGGGAGGCAGCAGUAGGGUAUCGUCGGCAAAGGGCGGAAGUCUGACGGAGCAACGCCGCGUGAGAGAUGAAAGCCUUCGGAUCGUAAAACUCUGUUAUUAGGGAAGAACAGAUGUGUAAGGAACCGUGCACAGAGUGACGGUACUGAGUAAGGAAGCCACGGCUAACUACGUG